Molecule: ribosomal RNA, 666 nt
Filed under: Eimeria porci
Lineage: Eukaryota; Apicomplexa; Conoidasida; Eucoccidiorida; Eimeriidae
Description: SSU rRNA
Rfam family: Eukaryotic small subunit ribosomal RNA
Source: RNAcentral
UUAAUUCCCAGGUCAAUAGUGUAUAUUAGAGUUGUUGCAGUUAAAAAGCUCGUAGUUGGAUUUCUGUCGUGGUCAUCCGGCUCCGCCUGUAUGGGUGUGCGCCUGGUUUGCCCGCGGCUUUCUUCCGGUAGCCUACCGCGCUUCACUGCGUGCGUUGGUGUUCCCCGGAACUUUUACUUUGAGAAAAAUAGAGUGUUUCAAGCAGGCUUGUCGCCCUGAAUACUUCAGCAUGGAAUAAUAAGAUAGGACCUUGGUUCUAUUUUGUUGGUUUCUAGGACCAAGGUAAUGGUUAAUAGGGACAGUUGGGGGCAUUCGUAUUUAACUGUCAGAGGUGAAAUUCUUAGAUUUGUUAAAGACGAACUACUGCGAAAGCAUUUGCCAAGGAUGUUUUCAUUAAUCAAGAACGACAGUAGGGGGUUUGAAGACGAUUAGAUACCGUCGUAAUCUCUACCAUAAACUAUGCCGACUAGAGAUAGGGAAUGCAUUAUUCCAAUCUUCCCUGCACCUCAUGAGAAAUCAAAGUCUCUGGGUUCUGGGGGGAGUAUGGUCGCAAGGCUGAAACUUAAAGGAAUUGACGGAAGGGCACCACCAGGCGUGGAGCCUGCGGCUUAAUUUGACUCAACACGGGGAAACUCACCAGGUCCAGACAUGGAAAAGGAUUGACGA